Molecule: long non-coding RNA, 2005 nt
Filed under: Podarcis lilfordi (Lilford's wall lizard)
Lineage: Eukaryota; Metazoa; Chordata; Lepidosauria; Squamata; Lacertidae
Source: RNAcentral
CCUAACCCUAUUGCUUUUAAAGCACUUUAAACUGCAGCUGCAAGUUGCGCCAUGAAGCACGCCCUGCCAUCCCCUUUUGCUGACUGGGAGCAGAGGAGGUGCUGCUUACAGUCUCUCCAGGUGCAUUUCAACAGUCAGGAGGAGGCCUGAAGCCUUCGGGCGAUUGUACAUCUCCUAAGAACAUUUAACGCAAUUUCUCUAUAUUCUUUCUGAAGCCCUUUCCAAAGAAUGAUGAUGGUAUAUAAACCUCUGGAAGGGACCCCAAGGGUCAUCCAGUCCAACCCGCUGCAUCGCAGGAACAUGCAGGAGUCCCUUACAGGGAACAAUCCCAUAACCUUGUUGUGAAGCAAAUGUUGCCCGCUUAAAUGGCAAACCUCUCCCGGAGCUGCAAGGUCAGCCAUGAAGCCCACAUGGCCAUCCACUUUUCUGGACUGGAAACAGAGGAAGUGCUGCUUACAUCCUCCUGGGAGCAUUUGAACUGUCAGGGGGAGGCGCUGACCCUUACCCCUAAGCCUAACCCCAACCCUGACAAUGACCCAAACCCCAAGACUACAGUUACAACAGCAGACUUACAAGUUCUGACCUUUGUGAAAGGUGAAGAUAAAGGGGCCCCUGACCAUUAGGUCCAGUCGUGACAGACUUUGGGGUUGCGGUGCGUAUCUCACUUUAUUGGCCAAGGAAGCCGGCGUACAGCUUCCAAGUCAUGUAAGAGGCUUCUGGCAAACCAGAGCAGCGCACGGAAGCGCUUUCAAAAUGAUAGCUGGGAAGGAGUAGGGACCGAGCAAUGGGAGCUCACCCUGUUGUGGGGAUUCAAACCACCAACCUUCUGAUCGGCAAGUCCUAGGCUCUGUGGUUUAACCCACAGCACCACCCGCAUCCCUAUUUUCUGACCUUUGACCCCUAGUUAGAAACUAGGCUUUCUGUUGCCCUCGUUAUUCCAACCACAAAUUGUCCAGCUUAUUGUGCAUCUGCCUAGAAAUAUCAUUUUCAUUUGGGAAAACAUCUCAUAAAGAGAUUUUUUCCCCCAGCUGCGGCAUUAGAACAUGGGAAGGUGUGCAUUGCAGGGCAUCCCAAAACAAGUCUUCCUGACCCAGGGCUUAGGGGAAUUAGGGUUGGGGGAUAGACUAUACUUUUUAGGAAGCCUGUUUAUUCUGACACUGCUGUUGGUGAAGGAAACCACAGACUGAUCCUAGCACAAACGCACUGCUUUAGGAGACAGGGGUCCCAUCCCAACCCCUUAGCCCUCAAACCCAGAGGAUCCCAAUACAAUUUGGCUCCUACCGUUCUCAGUAUGGGUUCUGCUCCUCUUCCGGGCAGGCACUGAAGGUGGGACCUUGUCUGUCAUGAUUACGGAGGGAAGACAAAUUGGGGGGGAAGAAGGCACAGCGUUCUCUCCAUCUCCCCCUUCUGCCCUGAAGUGUGUGCAGGGAAACCCACUCAUUUCAGUAAUCCUCGUUUCCCCCCCCUCUUUGGUUUGCCAUGCAUAAGUAGGCUUCUGCCCGAAACAUAAGUGUUAUAAUAAAUCCACAAAAUCUGACAUCAAGUAAGACAGCAAACCUGCGGACCUGAUUUCUUUCAAGUGAACUGAAAGAGUAUAAGUAUAAAACAGGCACCCAUCGUUUCUGCUGCAUCGUUUAUUCCACAAACUUGUGUCUUCUUUCUGAAGCACAUUCCAAAAGAAUCCUACAAUGGUGUAUACAUCUAUAUCUGGAAGGGACCCCAAUGGCCAUCCGAGUCCAUGGCAAAGCAGGAACAUACAGGAUAACAACCACCAAGCUUGGUUGUGCCAUCAGUGUUGCCCUAUUGAAUGGCACUUUUAAGGCACUUUAAACUGCAGCUGCAAGUUGUGCCAUGAAGCACACCUUGCCAUCCCCUUUUCCUGACUGGGAGUGGAGGAGGUGCUGCUUACAGUCUCCCCAAGAACAUUUCAACAGUCAGGAGGAGGCCUGAAGCCUUCGGGGGGAAUUGUACAUCUACUAAGAACAUUAAAUGCUAUUUCUCUUUC